CUUUCUCUUUUUAGAGGAAUUCUGGAGUUGGGAAUAUGUCCAUCUGGGUUAGCAGUUGUGUGGCAUUCUACAAACUAUCUGUUGUUCAGAUCAUUUUUCUUUCUACCACCAGCUUUACAUUCCCACAGGCUCCUUUCUACAUGCCCUGUCUGAUAGUUUCAGAUGGAGCCAGAAACGUCAAAUCAAACUUACCUCUCGUGGGCUUUCACCUCGCGCUGCAGAACAGAUCCUGAUCAGCCAGCCUCGCCCUGCAAGGGCUGCAGACACAGCUGUGUGCCUCAGACCUGCUGUGACAAACAUGGCAAGCAGCACCACAGCUCAGCCUGCCUGUCCACUGCUCCUUCAUUCCAACACGCACAGAACAAGAGUAAAGCUACAAAUCUCAAUGCAGAGAAACGUUGGAUCAAAGAAGAGUCAAUUACAGACAUGCAUUGUUAUUGAGCAAAAACAAAUCUUAAUAAGGUUUGUACCCUAUUUAAUCACUAUGUCAUAGUAAUAGAGAAACUAUUUAUUAAAAUGUUACCUUAGUUUAAUUACUAAGUUUAAUUACAACUGCAUACAGUUGUUGCUUCUCUAAGACAAUUAUGCCACAUAAGACUAAAAAGAAAUAAUUCAGAUAGUUUCACUUGAAAGAAAUCCAUUAGGAUCUUGUUUGGGAAUACUUUGAUCCUG
Molecule: long non-coding RNA, 672 nt
Filed under: Cyanistes caeruleus (blue tit)
Lineage: Eukaryota; Metazoa; Chordata; Aves; Passeriformes; Paridae
Description: lncRNA (ENSCCEG00000020034.1)
Source: RNAcentral